AAUCUGGGAGAGGUGACGGUGGACGUCGAUCAACACGGCAUUGAGGCGCUGAGUCUCGGCCACGGCGACACUAUUGGGAACACCAGUAGGCGACAGCAGACACAGGGCCCAGGUAGCAUGAUGAAGCUGCACUUCGCGACCAUACUCCUCAAGGAUGUCUCGAGCACUCAUAGCGGAAAGGAGAGGGGAUGCAAAAAAUAAGGGACUCAGGCAGCCUAUUUAUAGAGAAGUAAAGAAGGAGGGGCCCGGGAACCGAGGAACUUUAAUGAAAGUGGGUGGGGGACGAAAGGGG
This 292-nucleotide long non-coding RNA is filed under the name Zostera marina. Its description in RNAcentral is "long non-coding RNA (ZMAR_LNC000414)". The record is from RNAcentral. Lineage: Eukaryota; Viridiplantae; Streptophyta; Magnoliopsida; Alismatales; Zosteraceae.